CAGAUUUGUCCCUGGGUUCCUCCAGAGAGAGUUGCACAACAUGCUCUGGAAACCAUGAGCGAAGAGUAUUCUUGUUGGAGUGAAUUGCAUCUGCUAGAUUUAAUUUAUUAAAAUCAGAAACAUAUUCAACCAUUUCCAACUAUAUGCUGCUUACAAAAUCUCAGUACAGCAUCUCCAGAAAGUCAUGAGCCAACUGCUGUGCAUGACCCGCUUUGGGAUUCAGGCUGCAACAGGAAACUCAGCUUGGAACAAGAAUUCUCUUUUAAAUGAACUUUUGAAACUGGAUCUACAUUGUGAAAUAUUUGGAUAUUGAGCAAUGGAAGAAUUUGGAACAUAAACACAAGCGACUGCUGCUUAUGAGCACAGCAAGCUGCAGCAAGCCGGCUGGGUGCUGCUGUCAGCCAUCCCCAUGGCACAGGGCACAUAGGAGACUGGUGGGAAAGAAAGGCUCAUUGAGAGCACUUCUUAAGCAAGGGUAUUUUUACUCAGAGCAUGAUGAGGCACUGGCACAGGUUGCACAGAGAAGCUGUGGGUGUUCCAUCCCUGGAGACACUCAAGGCCAGGUUGGAUGGGGCCCAUGGGCAGCCUGUUGGGUGGCACUGCCCAUGGCAAGGGGUUGGAACUGGUGGGCUUUAAGAUCCCUUCCAACCUAAUCCAUUCUGUGAUUCUAUGAUUAAAUUUCACCCUCAGCAAGUUUGUGGAUGACACCACGCUGAGUGGUGUGGCCAACACACCUGAGGGAUAGGAUGCCUGUAUGGGAACUGCUGAGUCACAACCUGCACUACUGACUGAGCACCUGGAGAAAAGACCCAGUCAGCCCUGGAAGCACAGGUGAAGGUAAUUCACCUGUGUGACCAAAAAAAGUGGACCCUGGCUUUACCCUUCUUAGACCUCAUUUUAAAGGCUGACUGCCACUGAAGAAGGAUCUCUUGUUGGAGAUCUCUCCUUUGUGGAGUCUUCCUGCAAUCCUUGAUCUUUGGAUACAGCUAGAACAAGUUGGCACCAAUAUUUUGGCUAUUGCUGAGCAGUUCUGCCG
This 1036-nucleotide long non-coding RNA is filed under the name Gallus gallus (chicken). Lineage: Eukaryota; Metazoa; Chordata; Aves; Galliformes; Phasianidae. The record is from RNAcentral.